AUUGAACGCUGGCGGCGUGCUUAACACAUGCAAGUCGAACGAAGUGGCGGACGGGUGAGUAACGCGUGAGUAACUGCCCCCCUCUCUGGGAUAACAGUUGGAAACGGCUGCUAAUACCGGAUAGUGGGGGAUGACUCGCGUCCUAUCAGCUUGUUGGUGGGGUAGUGGCCUACCAAGGCGACGACGGGUAGCCGGCCUGAGAGGGCGACUGGCCACAUUGGGCUGAGAUACGGCCCAAACGCCUACGGGCGGAAGCAGUGGGGAAUAUUGCACAAUGGGGGACACCCUGAUGCAGCAACGCCGCGUGCGGGAUGACGGCCUUCGGGUUGUAAACCGCUUUCAGCCAUGACGCGGUAGUGGCAGAAGAAGCACCGGCUAACUACGUGCCAGCAGCCGCGGUAAUAC
Molecule: ribosomal RNA, 405 nt
Filed under: uncultured bacterium
Lineage: Bacteria
Description: partial 16S ribosomal RNA
Rfam family: Bacterial small subunit ribosomal RNA
Source: RNAcentral